AUUGAACGCUGGCGGAAUGCUUUACACAUGCAAGUCGAGCGGCAGCGCGGGGGCAACCCUGGCGGCGAGCGGCGAACGGGUGAGUAAUACAUCGGAACGUGUCCUUAAGUGGGGGAUAGCUCGGCGAAAGCCGGAUUAAUACCGCAUAAGCUCUGAGGAGGAAAGCGGGGGCUCCGUAAGGACCUCGCGCUGUUGGAGCGGCCGAUGUCGGAUUAGCUAGUUGGUGGGGUAAAGGCCCACCAAGGCGACGAUCCGUAGCUGGUCUGAGAGGAUGAUCAGCCACACUGGAACUGAGACACGGUCCAGACUCCUACGGGAGGCAGCAGUGGGGAAUUUUGGACAAUGGGGGCAACCCUGAUCCAGCCAUUCCGCG
RNAcentral lists this ribosomal RNA (373 nucleotides) under uncultured bacterium. RNAcentral describes it as "bacterial SSU rRNA". It matches the Rfam family "Bacterial small subunit ribosomal RNA", at positions 29 to 401 of the family's 1533-position model. The record is from RNAcentral.